UACGGAGGGUGCAAGCGUUAUCCGGAUUCACUGGGUUUAAAGGGAGCGUAGGUGGGAUGGUAAGUCAGUGGUGAAAUCUCCGGGCUUAACUCGGAGACUGCCGUUGAUACUAUCAUUCUUGAAUAUUGUGGAGGUAAGCGGAAUAUGUCAUGUAGCGGUGAAAUGCUUAGAUAUGACAUAGAACACCAAUAGCGAAGGCAGCUUGCUACACAAUUAUUGACACUGAGGCUCGAAAGCGUGGGGAUCAAACAGG
Molecule: ribosomal RNA, 253 nt
Filed under: uncultured bacterium
Lineage: Bacteria
Description: partial 16S ribosomal RNA
Rfam family: Bacterial small subunit ribosomal RNA
Source: RNAcentral